GAUGAACGCUGGCGGCGUGCCUAAUACAUGCAAGUCGAGCGAACAGACGAGGAGCUUGCUCCUCUGACGUUAGCGGCGGACGGGUGAGUAACACGUAGAUAACCUACCUAUAAGACUGGGAUAACUUCGGGAAACCGGAGCUAAUACCGGAUAAUAUAUUGAACCGCAUGGUUCAAUAGUGAAAGACGGUUUUGCUGUCACUUAUAGAUGGAUCCGCGCCGCAUUAGCUAGUUGGUAAGGUAACGGCUUACCAAGGCAACGAUGCGUAGCCGACCUGAGAGGGUGAUCGGCCACACGGGAACUGAGACACGGUCCAGACUACUACGGGAGGCAGCAGUAGGGAAUCUUCCGCAAUGGGCGAAAGCCUGACGGAGCAACGCCGCGUGAGUGAUGAAGGUCUUCGGAUCGUAAAACUCUGUUAUUAGGGAAGAACAAAUGUGUAAGUAACUAUGCACGUCUUGACGGUACCUAAUCAGAAAGCCACGGCUAACUACGUG
Molecule: ribosomal RNA, 497 nt
Filed under: uncultured bacterium
Lineage: Bacteria
Description: partial 16S ribosomal RNA
Rfam family: Bacterial small subunit ribosomal RNA
Source: RNAcentral